GAUGAACGCUGACAGAAUGCUUAACACAUGCAAGUCCACUUGAAUUUGGGUUUUUAACUUAGGUUUGGGUGGCGGACGGGUGAGUAACGCGUAAAGAACUUGCCUCACAGCUAGGGACAACAUUUGGAAACGAAUGCUAAUACCUAAUAUUAUGAUAAUAGGGCAUCCUAUAAUUAUGAAAGCUAUAAGCGCUGUGAGAGAGCUUUGCGUCCCAUUAGCUAGUUGGAGAGGUAACGGCUCACCAAGGCGAUGAUGGGUAGCCGGCCUGAGAGGGUGAUCGGCCACAAGGGGACUGAGACGCGGCCCUUACUCCUACGGGAGGCAGCAGUGGGGAAUAUUGGACAAUGGACCGAGAGUCUGAUCCAGCAAUUCUGUGUGCACGAUGAAGUUUUUCGGAAUGUAAAGUGCUUUCAGUUGGGAAGAAACAAAUGACGGUACCAACAGAAGAAGUGACGGCUAAAUACGUG
This 467-nucleotide ribosomal RNA is filed under the name uncultured bacterium. RNAcentral's name for it is "partial 16S ribosomal RNA". It matches the Rfam family "Bacterial small subunit ribosomal RNA", at positions 28 to 507 of the family's 1533-position model. The record is from RNAcentral.